CAAAUCUUCACCCUCUUUUUCUGAUGGAAGUCAGAAGCUUUGCAGGAAGCCAAAGGGUCUGUCCUUGCUCAGCUCUCCAUCCCUGUCCUUCCCUGGCAAUGGGUACUCUUUUUCUUUAGCACUCAGGGAC
This 130-nucleotide small RNA is filed under the name Mus pahari (shrew mouse). Its description in RNAcentral is "sRNA (MGP_PahariEiJ_G0008026.1)". Lineage: Eukaryota; Metazoa; Chordata; Mammalia; Rodentia; Muridae. The record is from RNAcentral.